Long non-coding RNA from Mytilus trossulus (common blue mussel), 2691 nucleotides. RefSeq lists it as uncharacterized. The transcript is spliced from 5 exons. The record is from RefSeq and is a predicted model, not a curated record. NCBI's taxonomy places the organism in Eukaryota, Metazoa, Mollusca, Bivalvia, Mytilida, Mytilidae.
AAACUUUGGAACUGUGUUUAUAUGAGAUGUAUAUAUUCAGUCUUCAAUGGCAAUGGAGUACAAUAGAAUAUUGCCUUGAAGAAACUGACUUUUUUAUAUAAAGAAUUAUCCAACAAAAGUGUUCAAUGAUAUCUAAAAGAGAUGAAAGACUGAGUAAUACUAAAAGCUCAAAUUGAAGUUUUCUAUGAGAUUGGUGGAUUAAUUGCAUGAACAGUCAGACAACUGGCACACUUAUGCUAUAAGUAUAGCUAUUAAAAUAAAAUAAAGGACUUGUAUAAUAACAUUUAUGUACUAUAAAGAAUAAAUGCUCCUACAUAAUGUGCUAUAGAGAAGAUAUGUUCCUACAUAAUGCUCUAUAGUGAAGACAGAUGUUCCUAAGUUGCACGAAGUAUUUAGAAGACAGACAGAUUCCUUUUACAAUGAAGUAUCUAGAACACAUAGCUGAUCAGAUUUGCAGCUCUCCAUUUUAUAUUCUGAUGAGAAAACAUUCUUGAGAAAAAACUAAGAUUAAUUGUUCAUAUUCUUCCUGAAAAGAGAAAUAUGUGAAAUUUAAGCUGGCAGAGAUCAUGAAUGGAGGAUUAUUUGCUUGAUGACUUCAGAUUUCCUGUUCCACAACUUGUUCUAAAGAAAAUCCUAGGACUUUGGAGCAUAAGUUUAUAUAAUCUAGAUUGAUGCAGCAUUGAAUAUCUUAAGAGAUUAGAAUGGACAAUAUUCUGAGUAAUUAAUGAUGUACAACAAAUUGUGCUACAAGUUCAAACCAGCAAAAUAAACUGAGUAUAAUAUAGCACUGUGAACUGAUGGGAGUAUAAUAUAGCACUGUGAACUGAUGGGAGUAUAAUAUAGCACUGAACCUUACUUUGUACAUGGUUGAUAACCAGCAUUUGAUAGAAGUAAAACAAAAGAGCAGGAUCUCACCUCAUACAAGUGAGGAGGAACUGAUGAACUUACAAGAAAGAAAGAAAAACAGAAAGAGACAGAUUAAAUCAUAAGAGUAAAGGGAAAAGGAAACUAGCAACACUCUGAAAUUAAGAAGAGAAAUAAUCACCAAUAUAUACAGAGGUUAGGUCUCUGACAGUCUCAACUGAUGGUCAUUGAAACAUCUCAAGGUUAUACAAUAUGAGAAUAACAGAGACACAUGGAAUAAGGAAAGAGAAAAUUUAACUUGUAGACUAAAGGUAUUAGAAAAAUACUGAAAAUAACAGAAGCAAUCAACAUAGCAGCUACCUUAUCACCAACUUAGAGGUUAGAGCUGACUCAACUGAUGAACAUAGAACAAACUUUAACAUAUUAACAGCAUAGAAAAACAAUCAACAUGUCCAAGACUUAUAUUCUUGUCAAUUAAAAUAUAUGAAUGAAUUUUCAUAAUAGUAUAUGGUCAGCGGGAGAGAGAGAAAGAUAUAGAAGGUCAGAGAGGGAGAGGGAGAACACUAUUAAUGAUGAGUGGGGAGAGAGAAGAAACAAAUAUUGCAACAUGUAAAUUUGUCUUCAACCAAAACACAUGGCUUGCGUUGAUGUGUCUUACCUUAGACAUAUAAUAUUUUUAUUAUAUAGAUCUCUGUUAAAAAACAUGUGAAAAAUAACAUGAAAACAAAAUUGAAACAGAGUUUUAGAUCAUAAACAGUAAGGGUGGUGUAAAAAGGUGGGCAUAUUUAAAAUUUUCUUUUUUUUUCACCAAUAUAUUUAUGAAAUUUAAAACUUAUAAUUGAGAAUGUUUAAUAAGACGUACAAUUCUUUUGAAUUUAGAUAUUUGGAGACAAAACCUAUUCUUCUCUAUUUAUUGUACCCUAAUAGUGUCAUAAAGCAAUAUUCGUAUCCUUGCUUAUACCUUGAACCUUAGACAUCUAAUAUUUUUAUUACCUAGAACUCUGUAAAAAAAAAAUGACAAAAAAUAAUAUGAAAACAAAAUUGUAAACAGAGUUCUAGAUAAUAAACAUUAAGGAUGGUGUAAAUAGUGAGUAUGCUUCAAAAUUCACACCGGGCAACCCCACCCCAAAUAUUUUUAUGAAAUUAAAUACAACAUAUAUUAUUGUGAAUGAUUUGUGUUUGAUAAGUUUUCUUUUCAUUAGUUAUAUUAUAUUGAUUGGUAAGCUGUACAUUUUUCUUAUGUAUUGAAAAUGGCUUUAAAGUUUAAAUGUUUAAUCGGAAGUAGAAUUUAUUUAAUAUUAGACAUUGGAGACAAAACCUAUCUUCCCCAUAUAUUAAACUAAAACAGUGUCUUAAAUUUGAAAUAUUCUUAUUUUGAAUGUCUUUGCUUAUAGCUUUACCCUAAGACAUCCAAUAUGUUUAUUAUCUAGAGCUCUGUAAAAAAAAAAAAAAAAAAAAUGUAGAAAAAUAAAAAUAACAAAAAAUAAUAUGAAAACAAAAUUGUAAACAGAGUUCUAGAUAAUAAACAUUAAGGAUGGUUUAAAUAGUGAGUAUGCUUCAAAAUUCACACCGGGCAACCCCACCCCAAAUAUUUUUAUGAAAUUAAAUACAACAUAUAUUAUUGUGAAUGAUUUGUGUUUGAUAAGUUUUCUUUUCAUUAGUUAUAUUAUAUUGAUUGGCCAGCUGUACAUUUUUCUUAUGUAUUGAAAGUGGCUUUAAAGUUUACAUGUUUAAUCAGAAGUAGAAUUCUUUCAAUAUUAGAUAUUGGAGACAAAACAUAUCUUCCCCAUAUAUUAAACUAAAACAGUGUCUUAAAUUUGCAAUAUU